This 100-nucleotide small RNA is filed under the name Flavobacterium sp. 1. RNAcentral describes it as "Flavo-1 RNA". It matches the Rfam family "Flavo-1 RNA". The record is from RNAcentral. Lineage: Bacteria; Pseudomonadati; Bacteroidota; Flavobacteriia; Flavobacteriales; Flavobacteriaceae.
GACUAGCCCAGAUGGAAACGGCAUCUCCCGAUUUAAAAAAACAAGGCUUUUUUGUCGUAGUUUUUGUUAAUCGGGAAUAUAGUGUACAGCUGGAAACAGC